CCUACGGGUGGCUGCAGUGGGGGGUAUUGCACAAUGGGGGAAACCCUGAUGCAGCGACGCCGUGUGGGCGAAGAAGUAUUUCGGUAUGUAAAGCCCUAUCAGCAGGGGAGAAGAAAUGACGGUACCUGAGUAAGAAGCACCGGCUAAAUACGUGCCAGCAGCCGCGGUAAUACGUAGGGGGCAAGCGUUAUCCGUAUUUACUGGGUGUAAAGGGAGCGUAGACGGCAGCGCAAGUCUGGAGUGAAAUGCCGGGGCCCAACCCCGGAACUGCUCUGGAAACUGUGAAGCUGGAGUGCAGGAGAGGUAAGCGGAAUUCCUGGUGUAGCGGUGAAAUGCGUAGAUAUCAGGAGGAACACCGGCGGCGAAGGCGGCUUACUGGACUGUAACUGACGUUGAGGCUCGAAGGCGUGGGGAGCAAACAGGAUUAGAUACCCCUGUAGUC
RNAcentral lists this ribosomal RNA (442 nucleotides) under uncultured bacterium. Its description in RNAcentral is "partial 16S ribosomal RNA". It matches the Rfam family "Bacterial small subunit ribosomal RNA", at positions 338 to 795 of the family's 1533-position model. The record is from RNAcentral.